GUCGAGAAUCUUUCACAAUGGGGGCAACCCUGAUGGAGCGACGCCGCGUGGAGGAUAAGGUCUUCGGAUUGUAAACUCCUGUCAUGCGUGAACAAGGUUGCUUGGUUAAUACCUGGGCAAAUUGAUGGUAACGCAAGAGGAAGAGACGGCUAACUCUGUGCCAGCAGCCGCGGUAAUACAGAGGUCUCAAGCGUUGUUCGGAAUCACUGGGCGUAAAGGGUGCGUAGGUGGCGUGGUUAGUCAGAUGUGAAAGCCCGGGGCUCAACCUCGGAACUGCAUCCGAUACUGCCAUGCUAGAGUACUGGAGAAGUGACUAGAAUUCUCGGUGUAGCAGUGAAAUGCGUAGAUAUCGAGAGGAAUACCAAAGGCGUAGGCAGGUCACUGGACAGUUACUGACACUGAGGCACGAAGGCCAGGGGAGCGAACGGGAUUAGAUACCCUUGUAGUCC
This 449-nucleotide ribosomal RNA is filed under the name uncultured bacterium. RNAcentral's name for it is "partial 16S ribosomal RNA". It matches the Rfam family "Bacterial small subunit ribosomal RNA", at positions 354 to 796 of the family's 1533-position model. The record is from RNAcentral.